AGGGUUCGAUUCUGGCUCAGGAUGAACGCUAGCUACAGGCUUAACACAUGCAAGUCGAGGGGCGGCAUUUUCUAGCAAUAGAAGAGAUGGCGACCGGCGCACGGGUGAGUAACACGUAUCCAACCUGCCGAUAACUCCGGGAUAGCCUUUCGAAAGAAAGAUUAAUACCGGAUAGUAUACGAAUAUCGCAUGAUAUUUUUAUUAAAGAAUUUCGGUUAUCGAUGGGGAUGCGUUCCAUUAGUUUGUUGGCGGGGUAACGGCCCACCAAGACUACGAUGGAUAGGGGUUCUGAGAGGAAGGUCCCCCACAUUGGAACUGAGACACGGUCCAAACUCCUACGGGAGGCAGCAGUGAGGAAUAUUGGUCAAUGGGCGAGAGCCUGAACCAGCCAAGUAGCGUGAAGGAUGAAGGCUCUAUGGGUCGUAAACUUCUUUUAUAUGGGAAUAAAGUUUUCCACGUGUGGAAUUUUGUAUGUACCAUAUGAAUAAGGAUCGGCUAACUCCGUGCCAGCCGCUGC
This 517-nucleotide ribosomal RNA is filed under the name uncultured bacterium. RNAcentral's name for it is "bacterial SSU rRNA". It matches the Rfam family "Bacterial small subunit ribosomal RNA", at positions 8 to 518 of the family's 1533-position model. The record is from RNAcentral.